GGAAACGUGCCCGAAAAACAAGGAUCUCCUUGAUGGGGAGAACUAUAGAGGUUUAAACCCUCUCGUUUCCU
Molecule: transfer RNA, 71 nt
Filed under: Eleutherodactylus orientalis
Lineage: Eukaryota; Metazoa; Chordata; Amphibia; Anura; Eleutherodactylidae
Description: tRNA-Ile
Source: RNAcentral